RNAcentral lists this long non-coding RNA (545 nucleotides) under Helianthus annuus (common sunflower). Lineage: Eukaryota; Viridiplantae; Streptophyta; Magnoliopsida; Asterales; Asteraceae. The record is from RNAcentral.
CUUCUUCUCUCUUUCGGCCGAACACCCACAUCCAUCCAUUAAUUUUCAAAAUUCAAAGAUCCCUUGAAGAUAAAAGCUCAUUACAAGAAGUUUCUUAGUUUUUUGAAGAACCAAGAAGGUUUCCAAGGCGAUUCUAAGAGGAAACAAGCUCCAUAACAUCAAAUCUUAUCAAAACCCACCAAUAAUCUUGUAGGUAUAAAAUUUAUGUUUAAAUCAUACUCUCGAUUCUUGGAAGAGGACUCGACCCGUUAGAGAGAACGCACCGAUUUCGAAAGCUGAGACAGCAUCCGCUUUGAAGAAGCAGGAAGGGAUUUGGGGACAAUCGCUCUCACUGUGAUCGUCAGUUCGCCACGUUACGCGUAGGUAUGGAGACGAUGAAGGACUUAGAGAGACAGAUGGACUGUUAUGAUGAGCUAGAAGAGCUUGUUAGGAAGAUGUUGGACUUCCAGGGAUUGAAGCGUUAGUUGUUGGUUGUUUCUGUUGUUUGUUUUGUAUUGUCUCAUUUUAUGAACCCUAUUUAUGGCUUGCAUGUCAAAUUUUCAGCU